CGGGACGGGUGAGUAACGCGUGGAUAACCUGCCUCAUACAGGGGGAUAACAGUUAGAAAUGACUGCUAAUACCGCAUAAGCGCACAGGACCGCAUGGUCCGGUGUGAAAAACUCCGGUGGUAUGGGAUGGAUCCGCGUCUGAUUAGCUGGUUGGUGAGGUAACGGCCCACCAAGGCGACGAUCAGUAGCCGACCUGAGAGGGUGGCCGGCCACAUUGGGACUGAGACACGGCCCAAACUCCUACGGGAGGCAGCAG
This 256-nucleotide ribosomal RNA is filed under the name uncultured bacterium. RNAcentral's name for it is "partial 16S ribosomal RNA". It matches the Rfam family "Bacterial small subunit ribosomal RNA", at positions 98 to 354 of the family's 1533-position model. The record is from RNAcentral.